AGAAAUAUGUCUGACAAAAGAAUUUUCUUGAUAGGAUAAAUUAUAGGGGUUUAAAUCCCCUUAUUUCUA
Monodelphis domestica (gray short-tailed opossum) is the source of this 69-nucleotide transfer RNA. It matches the Rfam family "tRNA". From Rfam's summary of the family: Transfer RNA (tRNA) molecules are approximately 80 nucleotides in length. Their secondary structure includes four short double-helical elements and three loops (D, anti-codon, and T loops). Further hydrogen bonds mediate the characteristic L-shaped molecular structure. tRNAs have two regions of fundamental functional importance: the anti-codon, which is responsible for specific mRNA codon recognition, and the 3' end, to which the tRNAs corresponding amino acid is attached (by aminoacyl-tRNA synthetases). tRNAs cope with the degeneracy of the genetic code in two manners: having more than one tRNA (with a specific anti-codon) for a particular amino acid; and 'wobble' base-pairing, i.e. permitting non-standard base-pairing at the 3rd anti-codon position. The record is from Rfam. NCBI's taxonomy places the organism in Eukaryota, Metazoa, Chordata, Mammalia, Didelphimorphia, Didelphidae.